RNAcentral lists this small RNA (85 nucleotides) under Providencia rustigianii. RNAcentral's name for it is "Gammaprotebacteria rimP leader". It matches the Rfam family "Gammaprotebacteria rimP leader", at positions 20 to 102 of the family's 102-position model. Lineage: Bacteria; Pseudomonadati; Pseudomonadota; Gammaproteobacteria; Enterobacterales; Morganellaceae. The record is from RNAcentral.
GUUAUGGGUCCAGUUACAAAAGCCCCGAUAUCGGGGUUUUUUGUUAUUUGAUAAUCGAAUUAACUGGGCUAUAUGCCCUUUUUUU